Molecule: ribosomal RNA, 274 nt
Filed under: uncultured bacterium
Lineage: Bacteria
Description: partial small subunit ribosomal RNA
Rfam family: Bacterial small subunit ribosomal RNA
Source: RNAcentral
AGGACGAACGCUAGCGGCGUGUCUGAAACAUGCAAGUCGAACGGGAUUCAGCAAUGGAUUCAGUGGCGAACGGGUGCGUAACACGUAAAGAACCUGCCCUGCAGCGGGGGAUAGCCCUGGGAAACCGGGGGUAAUACCGCAUAAGACCUUAUUUUCGCAUGAAGAUAAGGAGAAAGGGAUUAGACGAUAGUCUGAUUUCACUGGAGGAGGGCUUUGCGGCCUAUCAGGUAGUUGGGAGGGUAACGGCCUACCAAGCCUAAGACGGGUAGCUGGU